GUAGGUGGCGAGCGUUGUCCGGAAUUACUGGGUGUAAAGGGAGUGUAGGCGGGAAAGCAAGUCAGAAGUGAAAACUCUGGGCUUAACCUAUAGCCUGCUUUUGAAACUGUUUUUCUUGAGUGAAGUAGAGGCAAGCGGAAUUCCUAGUGUAGCGGUGAAAUGCGUAGAUAUUAGGAGGAACACCAGUGGCGAAGGCGGCUUGCUGGGCUUUUACUGACGCUGAGGCUCGAAAGCGUGGGGAGCA
RNAcentral lists this ribosomal RNA (244 nucleotides) under uncultured bacterium. RNAcentral describes it as "partial 16S ribosomal RNA". It matches the Rfam family "Bacterial small subunit ribosomal RNA", at positions 527 to 770 of the family's 1533-position model. The record is from RNAcentral.